CACGUAGUUAGCCGGGGCUUCUUAGUCAGGUACCGUCUGUUUUCUUCCCUGCUGAUAGAAGUUUACAUACCGAAAUACGUCUUCCUUCACGCGGCGUCGCUGCAUCAGGGUUUCCCCCAUUGUGCAAUAUUCCCCACUGCUGCCUCCCGCAGGAGUCUGGGCCGUGUCUCAGUCCCAGUGUGGCCGUCCGCCCUCUCAGGCCGGCUACUGAUCGUCGGUUUGGUGGGCCGUUACCCCGCCAACUGCCUAAUCAGACGCGGACCCAUCGCAUACCACCGGAAUUUUCCCCGCUGUGCCAUGCGGCACUGCGGGCAUAUGCGGUAUUAGCAACUGUUUCCAGCUGUUAUCCCCCGGUAUGCGGCAGGUUAUCCACGCGUUACUCACCCGUCCGCCACUAAGCCUCCGCACUCUUUCUACCGAAAUAGUCCGUGUCCGGCGCUCCGUUCGACUUGCAUGUGUUAAGCACGCCGCCAGCGUUCAUCCUGAGCCAGGAUCAAACUC
Molecule: ribosomal RNA, 501 nt
Filed under: uncultured Lachnospiraceae bacterium
Lineage: Bacteria; Bacillati; Bacillota; Clostridia; Lachnospirales; Lachnospiraceae
Description: partial 16S ribosomal RNA
Source: RNAcentral